RNAcentral lists this ribosomal RNA (225 nucleotides) under uncultured bacterium. RNAcentral describes it as "partial 16S ribosomal RNA". It matches the Rfam family "Bacterial small subunit ribosomal RNA", at positions 15 to 231 of the family's 1533-position model. The record is from RNAcentral.
GAUCCUGGCUCAGGAUGAACGCUAGCUACAGGCUUAACACAUGCAAGUCGAGGGGCAGCAUGGUCUUAGCUUGCUAAGACUGGUGGCGACCGGCGCACGGGUGAGUAACACGUAUCCAACCUGCCGUCUACUCUUGGACAGCCUUCUGAAAGGAAGAUUAAUACAAGAUGGCAUCAUGAGUCCGCAUGUUCACAUGAUUAAAGGUAUUCCGGUGGACGAUGGGGA